RNAcentral lists this ribosomal RNA (208 nucleotides) under uncultured bacterium. RNAcentral describes it as "partial 16S ribosomal RNA". It matches the Rfam family "Bacterial small subunit ribosomal RNA", at positions 568 to 774 of the family's 1533-position model. The record is from RNAcentral.
AGCGUAGGCGGACAUUUAAGUCAGGGGGUGAAAUCCCGGGGCUCAACCUCGGAAUUGCCUUUGAUACUGGGUGUCUUGAGUAUGAGAGAGGUGUGUGGAACUCCGAGUAUAGAGGUGAAAUUCGUAGAUAUUCGGAAGAACACCAGUGGCGAAGGCGACACACUGGCUCAUUACUGACGCUGAGGCUCGAAAGCGUGGGGAGCAAACA